This is an RNA transcript of Ahaetulla prasina, 1788 nucleotides long. It is a transcript of the gene named dynein light chain Tctex-type 3, with no coding region annotated. Lineage: Eukaryota; Metazoa; Chordata; Lepidosauria; Squamata; Colubridae. The record is from RefSeq and is a predicted model, not a curated record. The transcript has 8 exons.
UUGGUGAGCUAAUGCACGGGCGAGGCUGGGAAUCGGGAGGCUUCUGCUGCUACCAUCGCUGCAGCCAUGGAGGAGUGUCAUCCCCGUAACAAUGAGGAUUAUAACAAGAUGUAUUAGAGAUAGAAGUCCACGUGUCACAUAAAAGCGGAAGUAUAUUGCUUGGCAGAGGUGUGGUGUUGCAAGCUUUCUGUAAAGCACAGGAAUAUUUCUACAUGCUGUUCUUUGUAACCUGUUCCAGUAACUAUAUGUGAUUUCAUGAUAUUCCGUUUCACCCUUGUCUUUGAGUUCCAGAGUCAGCAUGUCCAUUUCUGCACAAGUGAUCUUUAACACUGAAGAAGACUACAAUACUAUUAAAGAUUGCAUAGAAGGUGUUCUAGGCAAAGCAGAUUAUAACCAUGACAGGGUGAAUAAAUUGAUUGCUACUAUAGUAGAACAGUCUCUAGCAAAUCUGGUAAAACUGGGAAAAACAUAUAAGUAUAUUGGCUCACAAAGCCUUGCUUUGUUUCGGCUGCUGCAAUCAGUUGCGUCAGCUAGCAACUGAAUCUGCCUGCCUGCAAUCCAUCUCCUCGAUGAGCAACUUAAACUGGCUGCCUCCAAUUGGUGACCUGUGCUGUGAUGCAGAAAUGUGGGGCUGGUCUGCAUACUGCAAGCUCAUGUUUUUGGGAUACUACAACUGAUGGUACUUGCACAGUCAGAUGGGAAAACAGAACAAUGAAUUGUGUGGUCAGUAUCUUUGCUGUGGCCAUAAUCUUGUAGCAAAGAUUAAAGAUUGUAAACUGGAUAAAAUAAGUUAUUCCAAAGCCUUUUAGGUUAGAAACUAUCAAAUAUCAGAAUGUACUGUAAGAAUUAUUAAAUAGAUGAGAAAAAGAGGUAGGAAAUGUGAUUUUUAAAAUGUUUCUGGAAAAAUGUUUAAAUUAUUCUAAAGCAUUUUUUCUGUCAAUUGGGAGAUUGCUAUGUAUAUGUUGAAUUUAAAAGACAAAAAUGUGCUACAAUUGUAUGAUUUAUAUUUCUGUCCUACAAAAAGGAAAUAAUACAAUUAAUCAAAAACAAAAAAUGCUGUAUUAUCACCAAUACUUUGCAAAUAGGAAAUUAGGACAAAUAUACAAAGAAUAAAUUAUUUAUUAUUAUAUAUUAUAUAUUAUAAGAAGUUGACAUAUAUUUUUCAUUGAGUGACAGAUCUAAUGUUUCGGAAGAAGAUUUUUAAUCUUCUUCAGACCUCUUUGAAACCUCUUUAUUUCUAAAAAUAAUGACUGAUAAGCUUCAGCUUGACUACUAAAAUCUACUACUAGUUUUCUUUAUUCCGAGACAAAUAUCUGCUACUGGCACAGAGAGAACUGAACUAGGUCUCUUGAGAACUGAAUGACUGUCAUAGAAAGCCCACCACUGAAGGAUUCCAUGGUUGUGGUUCAAACUUAUGUGGAGAAAAGUUUCCACAAAACAGUAGGUUUCAAAACCUAUUGUUUAAAAAAGUUAUGUAGUCAGAAUAUAUAUAUGGUAAAUGAACAGAAGAAAGAAAAACAGAUUUUAAGAGGUUUUUCUUUUUUUAGUAAAAAAGUUUUAUUUCCAUUUUCCAACAAUCUAUUCAAUAUACAGUCUCUUAUUCAACAUUAGUCAUUAACUUUCAUUUGUUACUUAUUCGGACCUGCCCAGCUACCACUUCCUUCCUUAACAAACCUUUCCUCCUCCCUUCUCUACUUUCUUCUACUUUCUUCAUCCUUCCUCUCCUUCGCUUUUCUACAUCCUCUCCUCCUUCCCUACUCUUCUCUUCCACCCUUUCUAACCCUCUCU